GAGGGACGCUUUGGAAACUGCCAAGCUAGAGAGCAUUAGGGGUUGAUGGAACGCACGGUGUAGGGGUGGAAUCCGUUGAUAUCGUGCGGAACACCAAAAGCGAAGGCAUUCAACUGGGAUGACUCUGACGCUGAGGAACGAAAGCCAGGGUAGCGAAUGGGAUUAGAUACCCCAGUAGUCCUGGCUGUAAACUAUGGAUACUAGCUAUUGCAAGUGUCGACCCUUGCAGUGGCGAAGCUAACGCGUUAAGUACCCCGCCUGGGUAGUACAGCCGCAAGGCCGAGACCCAAAGGAAUAGACGGGGGCCUACACAAGCGGUGGAUCAUGUGGCUUAAUUCGAUGACAAGCGAGAAACCUUACCAGGGCUUGACAUCCUAGUGAUGACCAUAAGAGAUUAUGGUUUCCACAAGGACACUAGGACAGGUGGUGCAUGGUUGUCGUCAGCAGGUGCCGUGAGGUGCUCCCUUAAAUGGGGAAACCUGCGAAACCCUUGCGCUAUGUUUUACGUGUCAUAGGGGACUGCCCGCGUACAGCGGGAGGAAGGUGAGGAUGACGUCAAAUCAGCAUGUCCUUUAUGUCCUGGGCCGCACACAUGAUACAAUGGUCGGUACAACGAGUUGCGAAGUCGUAAGGCGGAGCUAAUCUCUAAAAACCGGUCUCAGUCCGGAUUGAGGUCUGCAAUUCGACCUCAUGAAGAUGGAAUCGCUAGUAAUCGCGAAUCAUCACGUCGCGGUGAAUAUGUUCCUGGGCCUUGUACUCACCGCCCGU
This 768-nucleotide ribosomal RNA is filed under the name uncultured bacterium. Its description in RNAcentral is "bacterial SSU rRNA". It matches the Rfam family "Bacterial small subunit ribosomal RNA", at positions 616 to 1397 of the family's 1533-position model. The record is from RNAcentral.